This 109-nucleotide ribosomal RNA is filed under the name uncultured eukaryote. Its description in RNAcentral is "partial small subunit ribosomal RNA". The record is from RNAcentral.
UCGCACCUACCGAUUGAGUGGUCCGGUGAAUUCUCGGGAUUGUGACUGUUCUGCUUUAUUGUGGUCGGUUGCGAGAACUUGUCUAAACCUUAUCAUUUAGAGGAAGGUG